This 253-nucleotide ribosomal RNA is filed under the name uncultured bacterium. RNAcentral describes it as "partial 16S ribosomal RNA". It matches the Rfam family "Bacterial small subunit ribosomal RNA", at positions 524 to 776 of the family's 1533-position model. The record is from RNAcentral.
UACGUAGGGGGCAAGCGUUAUCCGGAUUCACUGGGUGUAAAGGGAGCGCAGGCGGCUUUGCAAGUCUGAUGUGAAAGGCCGGGGCUCAACCCCGGGACUGCAUUGGAAACUGUAAAGCUAGAGUGCCGGAGAGGUAAGCGGAAUUCCUAGUGUAGCGGUGAAGUGCGUAGAUAUUAGGAGGAACACCAGUGGCGAAGGCGGCUUACUGGACGGCAACUGACGCUGAGGCUCGAAAGCGUGGGGAGCAAACAGG